GGAGGUAGUGACAAUAAAUCACAAUGCGGAACAAUGUUUUGCAAUUGGAUUGAGAACAACGUACAAACCUUAUCGAUAAACAAUUGGAGGGCAAGUCUGGUGCCAGCAGCCGCGGUAAUUCCAGCUCCAAUAGCGUAUAUUAACGUUGUUGCAGUUAAAAAGCUCGUAGUUGAAAUGAAGGGUAGUUGUGUAAUGAAUACAUUCGUGUAUUUUGUUAUUCUACUACCCUCCUUCUAAAUUCGAUAUAUGAGUAUUAAUUUACUUGUAUAUGGUUUUAGACGUUUACUGUGAGAAAAUUAGAGUGUUCAAAGCAGGCAUUUGCUUGAAUAUAUUAGCAUGGAAUAAUCAUGUAUGAUUUUCAUGAUGUAUUUGAUUGGUUUGGUUCAUGAGAAUAAGAUUAAAAGGGACAGUUGGGGGUAUUCAUAUUCAAUAGUCAGAGGUGAAAUUCUCGGAUUUAUGGAAGAUGAACAAUGCCGAAA
RNAcentral lists this ribosomal RNA (479 nucleotides) under Blastocystis sp. RNAcentral describes it as "SSU rRNA". It matches the Rfam family "Eukaryotic small subunit ribosomal RNA", at positions 460 to 950 of the family's 1831-position model. The record is from RNAcentral. Lineage: Eukaryota; Bigyra; Opalinata; Blastocystidae.